CCUACGGGAGGCAGCAGUGGGGAAUUUUGACAAUGGGCGAAAGCCUGAUCCACCUGCCGCGUGCAGAGAUGAAGGCCUUCGGGUUGUAAACUGCUUUUGUCGGAACAAAAGGCUUUUCUAAUAAAGAAGGCUCAUGACGGUACCGUAAGAAUAAGCACCGGCUAACUACGUGCCAGCACCGCGGUAAUACGUAGGGUGCAAGCGUUAAUCGGAAUUACUGGGCGUAAAGCGUGCGCAGGCGGUUAUAUAAGACAGAUGUGAAAUCCCCGGGCUCAACCUGGGAACUGAUUAUGACUGUAUAGCUAGAGUGCGGCAGAGGGGGAUGGAAUUCCGCGUGUAGCAGUGAAAUGCGUAGAUAUGCGGAGGAACACCGAUGGCGAAGGCAAUCCCCUGGGCCUGCACUGACGCUCAUGCACGAAAGCGUG
Molecule: ribosomal RNA, 425 nt
Filed under: uncultured bacterium
Lineage: Bacteria
Description: bacterial SSU rRNA
Rfam family: Bacterial small subunit ribosomal RNA
Source: RNAcentral